UACGAGGGGGGCAAGCGUUGUUCGGAAUUAUUGGGCGUAAAGGGCGCGUAGGCGGGCUGAUCAGUCAGGGGUGAAAUCCCAAGGCUCAACCUUGGAACUGCCUUUGAUACUGUCGGUCUUGAGUUCGAGAGAGGUAAGUGGAACUGCGAGUGUAGAGGUGAAAUUCGUAGAUAUUGGGAAGAACACCGGUGGCGAAGGCGGCUCACUGGCUCAUUACUGACGCUCAGGCGCGACAGCGUGGGGAUCAAACAGG
Molecule: ribosomal RNA, 253 nt
Filed under: uncultured bacterium
Lineage: Bacteria
Description: partial 16S ribosomal RNA
Rfam family: Bacterial small subunit ribosomal RNA
Source: RNAcentral